CGGACGCCGUUAUCAUCCAUUCCUCGCUACUGUUGCAGUUUGCUUCCGAGCUGCACCUUCCAUGCACACGCCUGCUGCUACCUUGACCUUUCAACACACUGCAAAAUGGGUUAUGCAUCGUGCAGAGGUUUUAUGACCCUCGGCCGGAGACAAGCAGCGGAUUGUGUGCAGUGUCCUUGGGUUGCCUUGUCGGUCAGCGCCUGGAAGGUCUUCAAGGACACAGAGACGGAACGGAAGCACACUGGGACCUUUUGUGACACAUACAAGAGGCAUCGAGUGCAAGCGAAUGCAAGUGUCGAAGACACAUUGGGCACGUGAGCCGCAUAUUCUAAUCAUCUCUAACA
Ornithodoros turicata is the source of this 344-nucleotide long non-coding RNA. RefSeq lists it as uncharacterized. The record is from RefSeq and is a predicted model, not a curated record. NCBI's taxonomy places the organism in Eukaryota, Metazoa, Arthropoda, Arachnida, Ixodida, Argasidae. The transcript has 3 exons.